AUACAGAGGGUGCAAGCGUUAUUCGGAAUUACUGGGCGUAAAGCGCGCGUAGGCGGAUGAUUAAGUCAGUUGUGAAAGCCCUGGGCUCAACCUAGGAACUGCAUCUGAUACUGGUCAUCUAGAGUUUAAGAGAGGGAAGUGGAAUUCCAGGUGUAGCAGUGAAAUGCGUAGAUAUCUGGAGGAACAUCAGUGGCGAAGGCGACUUCCUGGCUUAGAACUGACGCUGCGGUGCGAAAGCGUGGGUAGCGAACGGGAUUAGAAACCCUGGUAGUCC
This 274-nucleotide ribosomal RNA is filed under the name uncultured bacterium. RNAcentral's name for it is "partial 16S ribosomal RNA". It matches the Rfam family "Bacterial small subunit ribosomal RNA", at positions 523 to 796 of the family's 1533-position model. The record is from RNAcentral.